CUCAAAAGUGUUGAAUGUGUUCGUCUACUGACAUUACAUCAUAAUGCCUUCCCUGUUGACACCAAUGUUGGCUGGAUAUGUGCAAGGCUGGGAUGGGUGCCCAUUCAACCUCUUCCUGAAUCUCUACAAUUACAUCUCCUCGAGCUAGAGGGCUAAAGAGUUGGAUAAGAUGGGCCGGUCUAUUUGUAUUCCAGUAAAGGCUGAACCAACAUGAACACAUUCAGAGUUUUGCUCCCCAGCGAGAUGGUGAGCUCUUCCCUAUUUCCCAGUGGUGCUGCCGAUAAGUGAGAUGUACGUUUUGUUCCUUGGAUAUGCCUGUUCAAAUGUUCAUCAUGUCGUGGUCGUGGCACAUACUCCGAAAGCAAUUCAGUUCGCUCUAGGCCUUACCGAUGGCAUUGUUUAUGUGAUGAUUGGAAGC
Molecule: long non-coding RNA, 418 nt
Organism: Lolium rigidum
Lineage: Eukaryota; Viridiplantae; Streptophyta; Magnoliopsida; Poales; Poaceae
Exons: 5
Source: RefSeq, a predicted model, not a curated record